GAGUGCUCGUGUGUCGUGCAGCAUGGCGGGUGGCGGAGGCCCGGGCCUGUGGAACCCGGCCUGUCCUCGGGCUCUCCCAGGUGCGAACCCCGCGGUCUGUCCACCCCGUCGGUGCGGAGCGGGGCACCCAGCUGACGGCGCCGGUCCCUUGCCGGGUACGGUGGGCCACAUAGCCAGGUCUGCGCGGCCGCUCGCGUUCCCGCGCCCUCGGGCUUUAAAAUAAUCUGCAGAUCCUAAACUGCUCGAACUCGGGGGACAACAGCGCUUGGCGGCCCUUAGUUAAAGGCCUGCGCCUCGGGACGCGUCGAAGUGCGGGGAGGAGCGGCCGCUCCUGGCAGCAGCUUUCGCUGGACCUGCACUGUGGCUGGUGUUCCUUAUGUGUCCACAAGAAAAGCCACCGUGCAGCCUGGUUCAGGCUUCUUAAGCACAACAAAACCUGUCUCUCUUGAAGGUGCUUGAACAAAUGCUUUCCAGAAACAUGUCAUGGAAAGUGAUUUAAAUAAGCCACCAGGACGGCAGUUGCCAGUAACAAGGUACAAAUAUUAAGCAUGUAGGCAGCUGCUGGUGAAAGUCCCACCUCAGGAGCUGUGAUGUUUAUGAACACUUCGUUGUUUCAGGCUGUUAAAGAUGAACGCCUGGACUGUUUUUGAGCUUGAGGAAAAGUACCAUGGGUCCUCACUGUCUUUGUCCUUUGGAAGGUGCAGCACACGUGUGGAUGGUGAGAUGGAGAGUUGUCAAGAAUCCGUGAACAGAAGCAAAUGAUGAAUUAGUGUUUUAUUUGAUAGUAAUCAACAAUAAAUUAUGUAGAAAUAAACA
This is a long non-coding RNA of Arvicola amphibius (Eurasian water vole), 816 nucleotides long. RefSeq lists it as uncharacterized. Lineage: Eukaryota; Metazoa; Chordata; Mammalia; Rodentia; Cricetidae. The record is from RefSeq and is a predicted model, not a curated record. The transcript is spliced from 4 exons.